Molecule: non-coding RNA, 87 nt
Organism: Pyronema omphalodes CBS 100304
Lineage: Eukaryota; Fungi; Ascomycota; Pezizomycetes; Pezizales; Pyronemataceae
Source: Rfam
GGUCGCUUAGCUCAGUUGGUUAGAGCGUGGUGCUAAUAAGCAAUCUUGUCAACGCCAAGGUCGCAGGUUCGACCCCUGCAGUGAUCA